AGAGUUUGAUCAUGGCUCAGAAUCAACGCUGGCGGCGUGCCUAACACAUGCAAGUCGAGCGAGAAAGGGGUAGCAAUACCCUGAGUAAAGCGGCGCACGGGUGAGUAACACGUGGGUAAUCUGCCCUAGAGUGGGGAAUAACACCGGGAAACCGGUGCUAAUACCGCAUACGAUCACGAGGUCUUCGGAUCAUGUGAUGAAAGGAAGCAAUUUCGCUCUUGGAGGAGCCCGCGGCUGAUUAGCUAGUUGGUAAGGUAACGGCUUACCAAGGCAACGAUCAGUAUCCGGUCUGAGAGGACGGUCGGACACACUGGAACUGAGACACGGUCCAGACUCCUACGGGAGGCAGCAGUGGGGAAUUUUUGGCAAUGGGGGAAACCCUGACCAAGCAACGCCGCGUGGGUGAUGAAGUAUCUCGGUACGUAAAACCCUUUCGACGGGGAAGAAAGCCGCAAGGCCUGACGGUACCCGUAGAAGAAGCCCCGGCUAACUCCGUGCCAGCAGCCGCGGUA
This 512-nucleotide ribosomal RNA is filed under the name uncultured Acidobacteriota bacterium. RNAcentral describes it as "bacterial SSU rRNA". It matches the Rfam family "Bacterial small subunit ribosomal RNA", at positions 8 to 522 of the family's 1533-position model. Lineage: Bacteria; Pseudomonadati; Acidobacteriota. The record is from RNAcentral.